This 1098-nucleotide unclassified non-coding RNA is filed under the name Haliotis rubra (blacklip abalone). Its description in RNAcentral is "transcription factor E2F5-like, transcript variant X1". The record is from RNAcentral. Lineage: Eukaryota; Metazoa; Mollusca; Gastropoda; Lepetellida; Haliotidae.
GAUUUCCCAUAAUGCUAUGCGACGCUUGAAAGCACGAUGGCCGACCACACUCCGAGUCGUCAUGAGAAAAGUUUAGGAUUGCUAACAACUAAAUUUGUAUCACUUCUUCAAGAAGCAAAGGAUGGAGUAUUGGAUCUUAAAGUCGCGGCAGAUCAGUUAGCUGUACGUCAAAAGAGGAGGAUAUAUGACAUCACCAAUGUCUUGGAAGGCAUCGGGCUAAUUGAAAAGAAGUCCAAGAACAGCAUUCAGUGGAAAGGUGCUGGGCCAGGAUGCAACACCAGGGAGAUCUCAGACAGACUUGUCACACUACAGAAUGAUAUUGACGACCUCGAACGUCAAGAGAGGGAACUUGACCAGCACAAACUUUGGGUGCAGCAGAGUAUAAAGAAUGUCACAGACGAAGUUACAAAUACCAGAUUGGCAUUUGUGACACAUGAAGACACGUGUAAGUGUUUCAAGGGGGACACGCUUCUUGCCAUCCAGGCACCAUCGGGAACACAGCUAGAAGUUCCCAUUCCAGAAAUUGGUCCAGGGUAUAAGAAGAACUACCAGAUCCAUCUAAAGAGCCACGCAGGUCCUAUCAAUGUCCUACUUGUCAACAAAGAUGCUGAUUCAACAAGUCCUGUCGUUGUGCAAGUGCCACCACCCAAAGAUGACUCUGCUGAAAACCCAUCCAAUCAAAACGUGGACCCUACUACACAGGGGACGUACAGGUCAAAGGUCACAAGGAAAGCGGUCUCCAGUGAAGUCGCCACUAAAGCAGACACAGCAGGCCAGUCUAGAGACAACAGCCCCCAUUACCAGAAUGGCAACACGAUCGUCACCAAGGAAAAACUCACAGGAGCAAAUUCCACAAGCUUCCACAUCUACCUCCACAAGCAGCUUCCCAACAACACCAAGUGGCCUUGACUCUCUUCCAUCUGAUAUGCUCUUUGACCCCUCACGGAGCGACUACGAUGUUGAUGGCUCUUUCAUUGAUGACCUCAUUACUUCAGAAGCAUUUGCUCCCCUUCUCCGCCUGAGUCCGCCACCAAGUGAUCGGGAUUACUACUUCAACCUUGAUGACACUGAGGGAGCCUGUGAUCUCUUCGAUGUGCC